AUGAAUCCGAUAACAUUGUUUCCACUUUUGCCAUUAAAAUUUUAAGCUAGGUUUUCUUGAUCUACCUCACACAAACUGUCUAUGUUUCUAAAUAAGCAAAGCUAACCCUUGCUAUUGGAACUACACUGAAUGUGAAAUAGAAAAAUACACUUCCUUUAGAAAAAUAAACUUAUUGGCCAAUGUUGAGACAAUAUCAGUAAGUAUGUUUCUUAUAUAUUUCACGUAAUAUGUUCAUGUGUAAUAUAUAGCUUGUGUACAAUAAUGUACAUCUAGAAUAUUGUGUUAGCUGUAAAUUGGUGAUUUUAUUAUUGUAGUCUGGUUUUGUAGGUUAAAAAUAGCUUACUAGUAAUGUCAGCUCAUCCUUUACAUUUUACAAAAGGAAUAAUUCUUGGUAAGCUUUGCAUACAGAUGAAUUACUUUUGUAGGCCCAAUAUCUAGUCUAUUUUUGAGAGUUCUUUAACUUUUAUUACUAAAGUUGAGAAAAAACAACACCCUAAUUAUUGUGAUCAUUAUUCCUGCCCCUUUUGAAGUAUAUUCCCAAUUUUGUUUCAUCACAAGAAAUAUGAAGGGGAAGAUACACCAUUAAAAAUAUUGGGAAAACUGUAAUUUUUUCUUCCCUGCAUUUGAUACCUUUUCCUGCUUUUCAUUUAUUCCCUCCAAAUAAGCUGUUGGUGGGGCAUUACUGAGAACAUUGUUUUUUUAAUCAUUCAUGCCAUAGGUCAUUACAUGUACACCACUGGAAUGUAUACAUUGUUAUCUAGUAUGUUAAUUGGUUAUAAUGAUAUUUUAAAUAAAAAAGGAAAAAAAAAAGUUUGACCACUAUGCACAUAGUGUUUCUUCAUUGCUAGGAUUUCACUGCAGCUGGAGUUGUGUUAGCAUCCGUCUUCCCUGAGAAUUCCAUCUGUUUAAAAUGGUAUUUAAGUCCUGUCUUGUGUACGAGCUCACUUGUAGACAAAAGUGAUGUUUCUUCCAUUUCUCUAUUCUUGUGGGCUUUGGCUGUGCCACAGACUGAUAGCAUCAAGUGUGUUUACAGCUGCUGAGAAUCCAUUCUUACUUCUUUAAUACCAGCUCUAGCCUGCCUUCUUUCCUGGAAAUAAAGCUGCUGAGACCCAAUGUGGUAAAAAGAGCCUUCACUUACUGCAGAGGCUCAUCUUCAAAAUGACCUGAAAUUUAUUACUCAUGAAGAAGAGGAAUAGAUGUUUCUGGAGCACAACAGUCAACUGAAAAAAAAAAAAAAGGUUAGUUCCAUUAAUCACUUUGAGUGGACACAGUUUGAUUUGUGAAACUGAAAGCAGGAAUGAAUUUUAUCGUGUCUGCCAGAUUAAUAUCAUGUAGAAUGCGACAUAGUUAACAGAUGCUCUUACAGUGGAAUGGAAUAGGUGGGUUUGGUUCCCAGUCCAGCUAUAUAUAUGUGUAUAUAUAUGUUGUCUAGUAUUCUGACUGCCUAAAGAAUAUUUAGAAUUAUUCAUUUGAUUUCACUGAGAGCUAGCCAUGCAGUUUAUGUCGUGCUUCCCCUCCUUACCUCACAUACCUGUUUUAGGCUCCCUGUCAGCAUGGCUGGUUGUAGCGUUGCCAGAACUAAAGCAAGUAGUCUGCACUUGGAACAUCCAGGAACUAAUGCAGUAUAAAUAGUCUAAGGGAUGGGGGCUGUCAGGAGGAUGGAUGUAAUGAAAGGGACCUGCGCUGGGGGGUAAAAAUAAAAGGGUAUUAAAGUAGCCUACUUGCUAUUACUUUGGAUUGAAUGUCCCAGAUAGUACAAGCUGUCACUUUUUACCAGUCCUGGUGUUCUACUUACAAGGAAUUACAGCUCAGUUCAGGCAAUGCUCUAAUAUUGAGGUUUAUUUUGUGAGGACUGUGAUUGUACUCGGUGCUGCCUCAACUCACUGUGCCAUUCCAGCUGAAAAUCAUUGUUACAACAGGGGUUGCUACUCACAUUAUGCAUCUUAAUGCUGUUGUUUUAAAAAAGCCAUUGUCUUUCUUGUAGAUUCAGUUGUGUUCCUGUAAGUUGUUGAUCAGUUGUGAUUAGUAAUAACACCCUGGAAGGUUGUGAUCAUUAACACAGGGGUAAGGCUACUGCUGGUGCCUGCAGGGGGCAGGCUGCUCCUGUUGAACAGUCAGGAAUGUGCCAUGCUGCUUGACAGCAGGGGUAGUAAAGAAUGCAGCGCAGCUGGAUAUUCUGGAGGGAAGGGAAAAUGUUUUGAAAUAACUGAACUGCUUAGUUUUAUUUGACCACUUUGUUUGACUUGCUAUAACUAGGAAAUAUUAGGUAAAUACGUUUUUUCUUUGCUCACUUUAAAUGGUUUACAUGUCUGUAGAAAGGAGAAGCACUAUAGUGACAGAAAAGGGUAACAUCUAUUAAAACAUGGAUAUCUGUGAGAUAAGGAGAAAGUCAGUACUAAAAGGUGUGCAAUCUGCUGGUAUUUAAAAAAAAAAAAAAAAAAAAAAAAUUCCAAGGUUAUUUCCAGAUGAUGAGUUAUAUUCUUCUUUAGUAAGAAAAUAUGUCAGUUUCAGGUCAUUUAAA
Molecule: long non-coding RNA, 2521 nt
Organism: Oxyura jamaicensis (ruddy duck)
Lineage: Eukaryota; Metazoa; Chordata; Aves; Anseriformes; Anatidae
Exons: 2
Source: RefSeq, a predicted model, not a curated record